UUUGAGACGUUUGUAUCUAGUCUUGCACUGAGGGCAAUGUUGGGUGCCUUCUCUCCUUUCAUACUCGUAGCAAGGUCUACACACCGGAAAACCACACUCGUUGCAGGCGACGAAGAGAUCUCCAUCCACUAUGUUGAGUCAGUACCUCUUCAUGGUUAUGAAUUACAACAAGCUCGUUGCGGUUGUGAGACCCUGCAACUAGUCCGGCACUAGCUUCCAUUGUGGCCGGGGCAAAGGAGAGAAUAUUGAGAUAGAAUUGAUGAGGAGUUUGCACCUUAUUGUAGUCAGGGAGUUGUUUUUAUGAAUGGGAAGAGUAGGGUCUCUGAACACUAUCACCUAAUCUUUCCAGGUCAGGUGAUGUUGUGUUGGUUGCAGAGUCUCCAUUGCCUUGAAGUUAAGCUUCCUCUAUUUUUCAACUACCAUGACCACCUUGGAUUUUUUUUUUCCUUCCAACGACCAUUUCUGUGUCUAAAACUAGAAUACAUAUGUAUGAAUUGAUAUAUGUGUAUGUAUAUGUAUACCUUUUAUA
Molecule: long non-coding RNA, 529 nt
Organism: Tripterygium wilfordii
Lineage: Eukaryota; Viridiplantae; Streptophyta; Magnoliopsida; Celastrales; Celastraceae
Exons: 2
Source: RefSeq, a predicted model, not a curated record